This 497-nucleotide ribosomal RNA is filed under the name uncultured bacterium. RNAcentral describes it as "partial 16S ribosomal RNA". It matches the Rfam family "Bacterial small subunit ribosomal RNA", at positions 28 to 507 of the family's 1533-position model. The record is from RNAcentral.
GAUGAACGCUGGCGGCGUGCCUAAUACAUGCAAGUCGAGCGAACGGACGAGAAGCUUGCUUCUCUGAUGUUAGCGGCGGACGGGUGAGUAACACGUGGAUAACCUACCUAUAAGACUGGGAUAACUUCGGGAAACCGGAGCUAAUACCGGAUGAUAUUUUGAACCGCAUGGUUCAAAAGUGAAAGACGGUCUUGCUGUCACUUAUAGAUGGAUCCGCGCUGCAUUAGCUAGUUGGUAAGGUAACGGCUUACCAAGGCAACGGUGCAUAGCCGACCUGAGAGGGUGAUCGGCCACACUGGAACUGAGACACGGUCCAGACUCCUACGGGAGGCAGCAGUAGGGAAUCCUCCGCAAUGGGCGAAAGCCUGACGGAGCAACGCCGCGUGAGUGAUGAAGGUCUUCGGAUCGUAAAACUCUGUUAUUAGGGAAGAACAUAUGUGUAAGUAACUGUGCACAUCUUGACGGUACCUAAUCAGAAAGCCACGGCUAACUACGUG